Long non-coding RNA from Ictalurus punctatus (channel catfish), 759 nucleotides. RefSeq lists it as uncharacterized. The record is from RefSeq and is a predicted model, not a curated record. The transcript has 2 exons. Lineage: Eukaryota; Metazoa; Chordata; Actinopteri; Siluriformes; Ictaluridae.
CUCAAAUUCCCAAGAUGCAACACUCACUUCUCAUGCACGUAUGCGCUCACCAUCCCCAGAGUUCUGAUCAGACACACCUGGCACCAAUCACACACACACACACUCUCACCGCUAGUACUUAGGGAAGUCAUUCACCCAUAAUCUAUGCGAAGUAUACGCUCAGUCAACUUGGUUCUCUGCGUUACCAAGCCGUUCUAGUUAGUUUGUCUUCUUGUGAUCCUCGACCCUUGUUUACGGUUUCGACUACGCUCUCUGCCUGACCCCGUUUGUGUUGUUCGUCCGAUCGAUUGACCUUUGCCUGUCUUACGACUACAUUUCUUGUACUUCCCGAUACCACGCUCUACACCUGCCGCCCGCUCCUGCUUCCAUGCCGAUUCGAGGUUCGUGACACACACAAAUAGCAGAGAUUCUGCUAAGAAAUUUUGGUGCCGGCCAACAUGUCCUGGAAUAAUAAAGUUUACUGGACAAACUGGAAAAAAAUCUGGUCAUACCAUUUCAGUGUUUAUUUUGCAUGGUAACAUUUUGGAUUAUGCAUAGUAUAUGCAAUUGUGGCAGUGGGGGCAUGGUCAAGCGUCAGCUGUGGAUGGAGAGGAGGCGAGUCAAAUCGGCAGUGCCUCCUGUAACAAGAGAGAGACAGAAAGAGAGAGAGAGAGUCGACCAGCACAAAGACACAUGUGUGUGUGCAUGUGUGUGGUUGAAUGAGUAUGCUGAAAAUCAAAAGUAAAAAUAGAGAGAAUAAAAAGCCCUUCUGAGUUGUAA